CCUACGGGGGGCAGCAGUGAGGAAUAUUGGUCAAUGGCCGAGAGGCUGAACCAGCCAAGUCGCGUGAGGGAAGAAUGUCCUAUGGAUUGUAAACCUCUUUUGUCAGGGAGCAAAGUCACCCACGUGUGGGUGUUGGAGAGUACCUGAAGAAAAAGCAUCGGCUAACUCCGUGCCAGCAGCCGCGGUAAUACGGAGGAUGCGAGCGUUAUCCGGAUUGAUUGGGUUAAAGGGGUGCGUAGGCGGGUUAUCAAGUCAGCGGUAAAAUCGUGGAGCCCACCUCCAUCCAGCCGUUGAAACUGAUGAUCUGGAGUGGGCGAGAGGUAUGCGGAAUGCGUGGUGUAGCGGUGAAAUGCAGAGAUAUCACGCAGAACUCCGAUUGCGAAGGCAGCAAACCGGCGCCCGACUGACGCUGAAGCACGAAAGCGUGGGUAUCGAACAGGAUUAGAUACCCCGGUAGUC
RNAcentral lists this ribosomal RNA (459 nucleotides) under uncultured bacterium. RNAcentral describes it as "partial 16S ribosomal RNA". It matches the Rfam family "Bacterial small subunit ribosomal RNA", at positions 338 to 795 of the family's 1533-position model. The record is from RNAcentral.